AAAAACGACCAUACCACGAUGACAGCACCGCUUCCCGUCCGCUCAGCGAAGUUAAGCAUUGUCGGGCUCGGUUAGUACUACGGUGGGGGACCACGUUGGAAUACCGAGUGUUGUUCUUU
This is a ribosomal RNA of Phaeodactylum tricornutum CCAP 1055/1, 119 nucleotides long. The record is from Rfam. NCBI's taxonomy places the organism in Eukaryota, Bacillariophyta, Bacillariophyceae, Surirellales, Neidiaceae.